CUUCUUGUUUCAGGAGUGUUUUACAGUAAAUUGAUGAUUUUCUUCCAGAACCUUCCUGUCACUCGGAUCCUGGACAACCUGAUGGAGAUGAAGUCAAACCCUGAAACAGACGACUAUCGAUACUUCGACCCAAAGAUGCUACGAGGCAGCGAGAGCUCUAUUCCCAGGAACAAGAACCCGUUUCAGGAGGCCACGUGGUUUGUGGUCGGAGGGGGAAACUACAUCCGAGUACCAGAACCUGGUGGACUACGCUAAGUUCAAGCAGGGGAAGAAGGUAGUUU
This is a long non-coding RNA of Notothenia coriiceps (black rockcod), 281 nucleotides long. RefSeq lists it as uncharacterized. Lineage: Eukaryota; Metazoa; Chordata; Actinopteri; Perciformes; Nototheniidae. The transcript has 5 exons. The record is from RefSeq and is a predicted model, not a curated record.